AGUAGUUUGAUCAGUGGCUCAGGACGAACGCUGGCGGCGUGCUUCAUACAUGCAAGUCGAACGAGAAAUUCACUUCGGUGGAUGGAAAGUGGCGGACGGGUGAGUAAUGUGUAGAGAAUCUGCCCUAGAGUGGGGGACAACAGAGGGAAACUCCUGCUAAUACCCCAUAUGCGCGUAGUUGAGAUACUAUUCGUGAAAGAUUUAUUGCUCUGGGAUGAGUCUGCAUCUGAUUAGCUAGUUGGGGGUGUAAUGGACCACCAAGGCGACGAUCAGUAGCUGGUUUGAGAGGAUGAUCAGCCACAAUGGGACUGAGACACGGCCCAUACUCC
This 329-nucleotide ribosomal RNA is filed under the name uncultured cyanobacterium. RNAcentral's name for it is "bacterial SSU rRNA". It matches the Rfam family "Bacterial small subunit ribosomal RNA", at positions 1 to 339 of the family's 1533-position model. Lineage: Bacteria; Bacillati; Cyanobacteriota. The record is from RNAcentral.